ACCUGUUUAUAUACCCUACCUUUAUAUACAUCCUUUUUUUAUAAGCAUUGUGAAACCUAUUACGAUCUUUGCAAAAAAAACGAUUUUAUAGAAAGCUUCUUACAUAUGACGACAACAUUAGAAAUGAAACAAAAACAAGAACAUAUGAGGUUAAUGUUAGAAGAAGAAUAUAAAAAAAUAAAUAAAAGAAAUGAUAUUACACGCGUACAUUUGUUGAUACAUAACACAGUUGAAUGUGUAGAUACAGAUACAAAUGACAUAUGUAAACACUUGUUAAACGAAUUGGUAAUGUUUUAUAAUAACAACAAUAAGAAGAAUAAGAAUAAGAAUAAUAAUAAGAAUAAGAAUAAGAAUAAGAAUAAUGAAAGUAAAAACAAAGCAACGGAUAUACAUAACAAUUUAUCACUUGUAGUAAACCAAAGUCAUACUACAACUGACAACACAGAAAACAUAAUUAUCCUUUUUAUAAAAAACCAACUACAAGAUUUAUUUUUAUCAUUAAUGUUUUAUCUAAUAGGAACGACUUAUCCUAUAAUCCAAUCGAUUUUAAAAGAUAAUGAACAAUUUUAUACAUUUCUUACAUCUGAUAGUAAUAUAUCCUAUUUCAGCAACAGAUAUGACAUUUAUAAAAAUAUGUUUACAAAAGAUUUUAUACAUUUAUUUUACAAAAGUAUAGAACGUGUUUUUUGUUAUAUAAAUAUAGAGUUAAUUGAUAGUUUGUUGAUGUAUGACCAGAUACAUGAUAUGUAUAAAUUUUAUUUAAGACGGGACAAAAUGAGUCCUGUAUUACUUGUAAGGAAGCACAUGCUGGAUGAUAAUAAUGAUGGUACUGGGGCUAGUUGCGACUUAUCCUGUCAUGACAAAACAAAUAAUAAUAGUUAUAAUAAUAAUAAUAAUAAUAAUAAUAAUAAUAGUAAUAGUAAUAGUAAUAAUAAUAGUAAUAAACUAUGCUUAUAUUUUUUAUAUUUUUGGAACCUUCUUAUACAUAACGGAUUAUGCAAUACAAACCCAUAUGUACAAAUGAUAUCCCUAAAAAUAAUAUUUAAUUAUAUAAAUAAAAAACUCUCUGGUCAUUACAUCCCUUUGUUACUAAUUAAAUUACGUGGUACUGAUAAAUUUAUUAUUAACAUUAUUAUUAAAAAGCUUUUAUCAUUACUUUUAAAUUCUUAUUUUUUAGAACAUUUUUACAUAUAUAAUGAAGAAAUUGCUCAAUAUAUUUCGAACAUAUGUAAGUUGUUAAUUCAGUUUCCUUGGCUAACCAACGGACAUGAGGACGGCAACGCCAUAAGCGAACUAAAUAAAGAUUUAUAUGCAAAGGAUGCAAAUAAAGUAUUAUUAUCACCAUUAAAAGAGCGUGGCUAUAAUGAAAUAACAACCAUUAUUCAUACCACGAAUAAUAAUAAUAAUAAUAAUAAUAAUAAUAAGGGACAGAAUGAUAAGAACAACACAAGUAAUCCAAGUGGAAUCGAUGGAAACGGUGGAAUCGGUGAAAACGACAACGACAACGACAAUAUUAACGAUGAUGAAGAAUUCAAAAUUUUAAACGAAAUACUACAAAACGAACAGAGUGUCGAAUAUGUGGAAUGUUUUCAUAAUACAUGCGAUUAUCAAAAUGAAGAUGAUCAGUACAAACUUAGCAAAGAUUUUAAAAUAAAUAAAGAAAUAUUAUCCUAUAGUAAAUUUUUUUUAAUAAUAGUUACUUUAUCACGUGCAGUAAACAUGCAUUUGCAAAAUAAAAAUAAAUCAUUUACAAAAAUAUUAACAAUAUUAAAUGCUUAUAAAAAUAUAAUUAAUGACUUACCAUUAGAAAUAUGGAAUCCAAAAAACGGAAUAAUAUUAAGUGUCAUGUCUCCUUUGUAUAAAAUAGCUUCCAUUUUUAAAAAAAGGUACAUACAUGCACGUGUACGUUGUAUAAAUAUAUGAAUAUAUAUAUAUAUAUAUAGAUACAUAUCUCUUGAUGUGUGCAUUACGUUAUUUUACUUAUAUGCAUAUCUUUCCGUGUUCAUUUGGCUAAAAUGUAUUUUAUUUUAUUUUAUUUUAUUUUAUUGUUUUUUUUUUUUUUUUUUUUUUUUUUUUUUACUUUUCAUAUUUACCCACCCAUUACUCUUUUUUUGACUCGGAUUUUUUUUUUUUUUUUAUAGACUUUUUGUAGAAGAUAAAAAAAUAUUCGAAGAAGAAAGCAUGCACAAGAAGCUUAUGUAUUUAUCAUGUUACUCGUGGGAUAUUAUUUCUUGCUUAGAGAAGAAAUUACAAAAUAAGAAAAACGUUUUUAAUCAAGCUUUUAUUCAAACAAGAC
RNAcentral lists this long non-coding RNA (2296 nucleotides) under Piliocolobus tephrosceles (Ugandan red Colobus). RNAcentral's name for it is "lncRNA (ENSPTEG00000016987.1)". The record is from RNAcentral. Lineage: Eukaryota; Metazoa; Chordata; Mammalia; Primates; Cercopithecidae.